AAAGUCAACCUUUUAAAUCACAUUUUUUUGAUUCACCUCAUCUCUUGCCCUUUACGUCUCAGCACCCUCUAGCCAUAUCUACCGGAUGGAGACGCGUGGUGAUGACAAAUCUGACGCUGAGGAGGGAGGCACGUCUGUGGAGUUCAAGAGCCAAACGACAUGACGUUGAUUUCUGCUGUUUUGGCCAAACGAAAGAUUUGGCCUCUUUCUUCUCCAUCAGCAAACCCAUCGGUGGCGGUGGAGGGCUUCCGGUGUUCCUUCUUUGCAUUGACAUGUUGCUUUGUUUACCCAAACACAUUAGAAGCCCUAGAUCCCUAAAUCUCCUCAAUUGACAACCAAAAAAAGGUCAGAUUUUUGUUUUCUUUUUCUUUUUCUUUUUUCUUUUUUAUAAAUCCUCCCCACUUAAAAAGCUAUGUGAUUAUUUUGUUUUGUUUUUUGUUUUUGUUUUUUUAUUUAUAAAUCCUCUCUGUUUAAUCCCCAUAAUGAAAAGCUGUGUGAUUAUGAAAAUAGACUUGCCGAAAUGCUUUGUGAUUUUGAAAAAAUGGACUUGUUGAAAUGAUUAAUUGAAAGCAUAUGUGAUUCCGCCUAGACUUACAUUUUGCAUUCCAAAUGUAUGAUAAAAUGCCUCGAUGAAAUUCUUUGUGAUUU
Camellia sinensis is the source of this 648-nucleotide long non-coding RNA. RefSeq lists it as uncharacterized. The record is from RefSeq and is a predicted model, not a curated record. NCBI's taxonomy places the organism in Eukaryota, Viridiplantae, Streptophyta, Magnoliopsida, Ericales, Theaceae.